GGUACACAGGUGGUACACAGGUACAGGUGGUACACAGGUACACAGGUGGUACACAGGUGGUACACAGGUGGUACACAGGUACAGGUGGUACACAGGUACACAGGUGGUACACAGGUACAGGUGGUACACAGGUACACAGGUGGUACACAGGUACAGGUGGUACACAGGUACACAGGUGG
Long non-coding RNA from Dicentrarchus labrax (European seabass), 179 nucleotides. RefSeq lists it as uncharacterized. The record is from RefSeq and is a predicted model, not a curated record. The transcript has 4 exons. NCBI's taxonomy places the organism in Eukaryota, Metazoa, Chordata, Actinopteri, Moronidae.